AUGGAGACGGUUGGCAUAUCUGCAGCGAGCUGGGUGGUUGGCAAAGCACUGAGCCCACUGUCUGGUGGUGUGCUGGAGUUGUGGGCAGCCAGCACCAAGCUCGGGUAUAACAUCGAGAAUCUAAAGCUGGAGCUGUUGCAGGCUCAGGCAAUGUUGAACACUGCCGAGGGCAGGGAGAUCCACAACCCCGCCCUGGCUGAGCUGCUAAACAAGCUGCGGCAGCUGGCCUAUGGGGCCGACGAUGUGCUGGACGCGAUCGACUACUUCCGCAUCCAGGAUGAGCUCGAUGGCACGUACCAUGCUGCAGACACGCAUGCUGCUGGCUGUGUCCAGGACCUCGCCCUCCAUGCUCGCCACAUGACCAAAGCUUGUGGGAACAAACUCAAGUUUCCUGUGUGCACGCGUGCUACCAGGCGUCCCGAUCCUGAUGAGCAAGACGGCGAUGGCAAACAAGGAUGCCUCUCAGGUCUCCGCUUUUGUGGUGGUCGGCGUGAGGUUAACUCCUCACUACCGACACCCACCAAACAGCUGGGUGUCGAUGAGGUUCAUGGCAGAUGCAUGCCUAAGGCUGCCCACAAUGUCGGUAAACACUUUUCUUGCUUCUCCUCCUUACCCUCUAUCGACCAUGAUGCUCAGACCGAAGUGGUGGAAAAUCACCCCUUAGAAAUACCAAAACUGAAGUUUGACAGGGUGGAAAUGUCUAGAAAGAUAUUGAACAUCAUAGAGCAGUUGAAGCCUGUAUGUGCUAAGGUCUCAACCAUUCUUAAUCUAGAGUUACUGAACUCUAGCCGUGCCUCUACCCAAGACAUUGCCACGAACAGACCCAAAACUACCCCACAAAUUAUAGAACCUAAGUUAUAUGGAAGGGAUAGCCACAAAAAGAUUGUCCUCGAUGAAAUUGCUAAUAGUCAAUGUUGUGAACUCACUGUGCUUCCAAUUGUCGGCCCAGGAGGUAUUGGAAAGACAACUUUCACACAACACGUAUAUGAACAAGCGAAGAGUCAUUUCCAAGUCCCCAUCUGGAUUUGUAUCUCUUUUGAUUUUAAUGCGAAUAGGUUGGCAAAAGAUAUCGUGAAAAAUAUCCCCAAAUUUGACAAUGAAAAGAGUGAUUGUAGUGAUGAAGAGCUUAUCGUGCAAAGGAUAAAAGGAAAAAGGGUUUUACUUGUGUUAGAUGAUGUGUGGACACAUCAUGAGGAUGAGUGGAAAAAAUUGUUAUCCUUAUUCAAAACCGAGGGUGCAAAAGGUAGCAUGGUUAUAGUCACGACUCGAAUACCCGAGGUAGCAAACACGGUUAAGACAACUAAAUGCUCACUGGGAUUGGAGCAUCUAUGUCCUAAAGAUAUUAUGUCUUUCUUUGAAGAUUGUGUAUUUGGUGACCAAGAACCAUGGAUUCACCAUCCAGAACUAUCUGAAGUUGGGAGCAAAAUAGUGGACAAGCUGAAGGGUUCCCCUCUUGCAGCAAAAACUGUUGGUAGAUUAUUAAGAAACAAACUUACAUUAAACCUUUGGACAAGCGUUCUGGAAAGUAAAGAAUGGGAAUCACAAAACAAUGACAAUGAUAUUAUGCCAGCUUUAAAACUCAGCUAUGAUCAUCUUCCAUUCCAUCUACAACAAUGUUUUUCUUUUUGUUCUUUAUUUCCUGAAGAUUAUGAAUUUGGUAGCGAAGAGUUGGUUCACUUGUGGAUUGGACUGAAUAUUUUGAAGAUGUUGGAAUGUGCUAUUUAA
This 1725-nucleotide ribosomal RNA is filed under the name Triticum aestivum (bread wheat). RNAcentral's name for it is "partial small subunit ribosomal RNA". The record is from RNAcentral. Lineage: Eukaryota; Viridiplantae; Streptophyta; Magnoliopsida; Poales; Poaceae.